RNAcentral lists this ribosomal RNA (426 nucleotides) under uncultured cyanobacterium. RNAcentral's name for it is "bacterial SSU rRNA". It matches the Rfam family "Bacterial small subunit ribosomal RNA", at positions 356 to 795 of the family's 1533-position model. The record is from RNAcentral. Lineage: Bacteria; Bacillati; Cyanobacteriota.
GGGGAAUUUUCCGCAAUGGGCGAAAGCCUGACGGAGCAAUACCGCGUGAGGGAAGAAGGUUCAAGUAAUUGUAAACCUCUUUUAUCAGGGAAGAAAAAAAUGACGUUACCUGAAGAAAAAGCAUCGGCUAACUCCGUGCCAGCAGCCGCGGUAAUACGGAGGAUGCAAGCGUUAUCCGGAAUUAUUGGGCGUAAAGCGUCCGCAGGUGGUGAAACAAGUCUGCUGUCAAAGACUAGAGCUUAACUCUGGGAAGGCGGUGGAAACUGUAGCACUAGAGACCGGUAGGGGUAGAGGGAAUUCCCAGUGUAGCGGUGAAAUGCGUAGAGAUUGGGAAGAACACCAGUGGCGAAAGCGCUCUACUGGGCCGGAACUGACACUAAGGGACGAAAGCUAGGGGAGCGAAAGGGAUUAGAUACCCCAGUAGUC